RNAcentral lists this ribosomal RNA (376 nucleotides) under uncultured bacterium. Its description in RNAcentral is "bacterial SSU rRNA". It matches the Rfam family "Bacterial small subunit ribosomal RNA", at positions 329 to 722 of the family's 1533-position model. The record is from RNAcentral.
CGCCAGACUCCUACGGGAGGCAGCAGUGGGGAAUAUUGCACAAUGGGGGAAACCCUGAUGCAGCAACGCCGCGUGAGUGAAGAAGUCAUUCGUGAUGUAAAGCUCUAUCAGCAGGGAAGAAAAUGACGGUACCUGAGUAAGAAGCCCCGGCUAACUACGUGCCAGCAGCCGCGGUAAUACGUAGGGGGCAAGCGUUAUCCGGAUUUACUGGGUGUAAAGGGAGCGUAGACGGCCAGACAAGUCUGAAGUGAAAAUCCAGCGCUUAACGUUGGAAGUGCUUUGGAAACUGCCGGGCUAGAGUGCAGGAGGGGCAGGCGGAAUUCCUAGUGUAGCGGUGAAAUGCGUAGAUAUUAGGAGGAACACCAGUGGCGAAGGC